UGAUCGCGCCAUUUUGGUGAGGAAAGUCCGGGCUUCAUAGGGCAGGGUGCCGGAUAACGUCCGGUGGAGGAGACUCUAAGGCUAGUGCAACAGAAAAUAAACCGCCUAUCGUUAUGAUAGGUAAGGGUGGAAUGGCGGUGUAAGAGACCACCGCUUUCCUGGUAACAGGAAAGGCUGUGUAAACCCCACUCGAAGCAAGACCAAACGUGUAUGAGCUUAUGCUCAUACGGGGAGCGAUACGGCGGCCCGUCGUGCUCCUAGGUAGGUCGCGUUUUGAGAAUAGCUACUCUAGUGGCGAAAAAAUUCGCUGUUAGCGUAGCUAUUCUCAAAGGAGCUGUAUGGCGACAUACAGUCAAGAUAGAUGAUCAUCUGAUACAGAACCCGGCUUAUAGUACUACUCA
This 401-nucleotide RNase P RNA is filed under the name uncultured Lachnoclostridium sp. RNAcentral's name for it is "Bacterial RNase P class A". It matches the Rfam family "Bacterial RNase P class A". From Rfam's summary of the family: Ribonuclease P (RNase P) is a ubiquitous endoribonuclease, found in archaea, bacteria and eukarya as well as chloroplasts and mitochondria. Its best characterised activity is the generation of mature 5'-ends of tRNAs by cleaving the 5'-leader elements of precursor-tRNAs. Lineage: Bacteria; Bacillati; Bacillota; Clostridia; Lachnospirales; Lachnospiraceae. The record is from RNAcentral.